This is a long non-coding RNA of Populus euphratica (Euphrates poplar), 395 nucleotides long. RefSeq lists it as uncharacterized. The transcript is spliced from 2 exons. NCBI's taxonomy places the organism in Eukaryota, Viridiplantae, Streptophyta, Magnoliopsida, Malpighiales, Salicaceae. The record is from RefSeq and is a predicted model, not a curated record.
AGUGAAAUAUCGAAAGUCAUUUCACGACGUAAUGCACCGAGUUUUUAAUAAUAUGAUUAUGUAUCAUCACAUAGCUAUUGAAUUGAUAAUUAUAUCUUCCAGUUUCAUUUCAGAACAAUCAUUUAAUUUAAUUUAACUUAAAAAUAAUAAUACAGUAACAUACGUAUAAAGCUCAUUCUGGUUUUGCGCGUGUUACCCGGAGAUCUAGAGCCAUAUACCAUGGGCCGAAGGUCCCAAGGAAAAGAAACGGAAAGGCGAAAUCAUCUCGCCGUCGGUAUAUUAUUGGUGGCUGCUAUUGUCGGCAGCUGGAGGAAUCCAAAAUUCUUCCACGUUGUUGUUUUGUCUUGUGGUAAGAAAUUGCCAAAUAAAGAUCAUCGUGCAAACAGGUUCUGUCU